GAUUGAGUUUGAUCAUGGCUCAGAUUGAACGCUGGCGGCAGGCCUAACACAUGCAAGUCGAGCGGUAGAGAGAAGCUUGCUUCUCUUGAGAGCGGCGGACGGGUGAGUAAUGCCUAGGAAUCUGCCUGGUAGUGGGGGAUAACGUUCGGAAACGGACGCUAAUACCGCAUACGUCCUACGGGAGAAAGCAGGGGACCUUCGGGCCUUGCGCUAUCAGAUGAGCCUAGGUCGGAUUAGCUAGUUGGUGAGGUAAUGGCUCACCAAGGCGACGAUCCGUAACUGGUCUGAGAGGAUGAUCAGUCACACUGGAACUGAGACACGGUCCAGACUCCUACGGGAGGCAGCAGUGGGGAAUAUUGGACAAUGGGCGAAAGCCUGAUCCAGCCAUGCCGCGUGUGUGAAGAAGGUCUUCGGAUUGUAAAGCACUUUAAGUUGGGAGGAAGGGUUGUAGAUUAAUACUCUGCAAUUUUGACGUUACCGACAGA
RNAcentral lists this ribosomal RNA (485 nucleotides) under Pseudomonas fluorescens. RNAcentral's name for it is "bacterial SSU rRNA". It matches the Rfam family "Bacterial small subunit ribosomal RNA", at positions 1 to 485 of the family's 1533-position model. Lineage: Bacteria; Pseudomonadati; Pseudomonadota; Gammaproteobacteria; Pseudomonadales; Pseudomonadaceae. The record is from RNAcentral.